This 71-nucleotide microRNA precursor is filed under the name Bos indicus x Bos taurus (hybrid cattle). RNAcentral's name for it is "miRNA (ENSBIXG00005027345.1)". Lineage: Eukaryota; Metazoa; Chordata; Mammalia; Artiodactyla; Bovidae. The record is from RNAcentral.
UUUUUAGCAGCUCCCCGAGGCAUGUGGAAUCUUAGUGCCUGACUAGGGAAAGGGGACGACAGAGGAUGAGA